RNAcentral lists this ribosomal RNA (72 nucleotides) under Erysipelotrichaceae bacterium RD49. Its description in RNAcentral is "Bacterial small subunit ribosomal RNA". It matches the Rfam family "Bacterial small subunit ribosomal RNA", at positions 1 to 72 of the family's 1533-position model. The record is from Rfam by way of RNAcentral. Lineage: Bacteria; Bacillati; Bacillota; Erysipelotrichia; Erysipelotrichales; Erysipelotrichaceae.
CAAAUGGAGAGUUUGAUCCUGGCUCAGGAUGAACGCUGGCGGCAUGCCUAAUACAUGCAAGUCGAACGGAAC